Molecule: ribosomal RNA, 407 nt
Filed under: uncultured bacterium
Lineage: Bacteria
Description: partial 16S ribosomal RNA
Rfam family: Bacterial small subunit ribosomal RNA
Source: RNAcentral
GACGAACGCUGGCGGCGUGCCUAAUACAUGCAAGUAGGACGCAGUUGCGAACGGGUGAGUAACGCGUAGGUAACUACCUAUUAGAGGGGGAUAACUAUUGGAAACGAUAGCUAAUACCGCAUACUAGUAGAUGGACCUGCGUUUUAUUAGCUGGUAGGUAGGGUAAUGGCCUACCUAGGCAACGAUACAUAGCCGACCUGAGAGGGUGCUAGGCCACACGGGGAAUUGGACACGGCGCAGACUCCUACGGGAGGCAGCAGUAGGGAAUCUUCGGCAAUGGGGGGAACCCUGACCGAUCCACGCCGCGUGAGUGAAGAGGGUUUUCGGAUCGUAAAGCUCUGUUGUUAAGGAAGCGGUACUUAACCAGAAAGGUACGGCUAACUACGUGCCAGCAGCAGCGGUAAUAC